RNAcentral lists this ribosomal RNA (253 nucleotides) under uncultured bacterium. RNAcentral describes it as "partial 16S ribosomal RNA". It matches the Rfam family "Bacterial small subunit ribosomal RNA", at positions 524 to 776 of the family's 1533-position model. The record is from RNAcentral.
UACGAAGGGGGCUAGCGUUGCUCGGAAUUACUGGGCGUAAAGGGCGCGUAGGCGGUUCGUACAGGCGGGCGUGAAAUUCCUGGGCUCAACCUGGGGGCUGCGUUCGAUACGUGCGGACUAGAGUGGGGAAGAGGGUCGUGGAAUUCCCAGUGUAGAGGUGAAAUUCGUAGAUAUUGGGAAGAACACCGGUGGCGAAGGCGGCGACCUGGACUGCAACUGACACUGAUAAACGAAAGCCAGGGUAGCAAACGGG